RNAcentral lists this long non-coding RNA (480 nucleotides) under Equus caballus (horse). RNAcentral's name for it is "lncRNA (ENSECAG00000056049.1)". The record is from RNAcentral. Lineage: Eukaryota; Metazoa; Chordata; Mammalia; Perissodactyla; Equidae.
CUUGAAAUUCAAGUUGUGCGCCGGGCUCGGACUCUUACAAGUAGAAACUGCCCUGUCAUUCUUCUCUCCUGCCUGCUCACAUUCCAGCCCUCCCCACUGCCUGGCCACUGGACACAGGCGAUGGAGGCCGGAUGGCGACCUUGUGCCCUGAAGGAGACCACAUGUCCAGAGUGAAGAUCCAGGAGGGGAAAGACACAGGGUAACACGGGGCAGGAGGGGCUGGCAGCAACUGAGGAGGCUGAACCUGGGCCAGGGGUCCUCUUUGCCUGAGGCCUGGAGCCUACCGCCUACCUCCCAAAAGGGCAAAUUGACUGGCCCUGAGCUAACAUCCAUGCCCAUCUUCCUCUACUUUAUACGUGGGACGCCUGCCACAGCAUGGCUUUGGCCAAGCGGUACCAUGUCUGCACCUGGGAUCCGAACCGGCAAACCCUGGGCCGCUGAGAAGCAGAACGUGCAAACUUAACUGCUGCACCACAGGGC